Molecule: long non-coding RNA, 239 nt
Filed under: Selaginella moellendorffii
Lineage: Eukaryota; Viridiplantae; Streptophyta; Lycopodiopsida; Selaginellales; Selaginellaceae
Description: long non-coding RNA (SMOE_LNC000897)
Source: RNAcentral
UUCUUUCUUUUCCACUUUGUUUUCUAGAGUUUCUACUAUUUCAUGCAGCUACCAGCACUUGGCAUCAGUAGCAAAGGUACACUCUACACUCUUCGGAGGGUUCUUGCGCGUAUGGAGCCAGCGUGAUCCACCGUGAUCGCAUGUUAGGGUGUGGCCACUGAGAGAGUGAGAGAGAGAGAGGGAAUAUUCUAGUCCUUAGAAUAUUCCCCAUCUUCCUUGUAUAAAACCCGUGCCUCACA